This is a long non-coding RNA of Gigantopelta aegis, 678 nucleotides long. RefSeq lists it as uncharacterized. Lineage: Eukaryota; Metazoa; Mollusca; Gastropoda; Neomphalida; Peltospiridae. The record is from RefSeq and is a predicted model, not a curated record. The transcript is spliced from 3 exons.
UUUCUCAUUUUUGUUUCAGAUUUUUAAAACGAUUUUAAAACGAUCUAAAAGAGAUUUUAGAAAUAUAUUUGUAUUGUUUUUGUUUUUUUUCAUUUAAACAAAACCCAGAUUGGGGUAUGGACGGAUAAUCAGUUUAGUUUUGACGAGAGGAACAUAAAGGCAUUAGACACCUUAGCUUCCAGAUGUCCUAACGAAGUACAGUGCAACAGAUGUCAAACAUUUCUGUCAAAACCCAAACCUGUAGAGGAGAGGACCAACAACCUGCCGCUGAUUGUUGGGGUCUCGGUGGAGGGCCUGCUCAUACUGCUCCUGGGAGUGGCGUGUCUUGUCAUACACUGCAGGUGGAAGGCCAGACACAACCAUUACGUCAACCGUGCGAUGCAGUACAAGAUGACUCCGGGUUACAUCACAGCAGUGCAUAACGAGUCGCCGAUGGAUCCAUACGAUGUAUCACGAAUGUCCAAUUACGACCACAUUCCAGCCGACCUUGUAGAGAUGGCACCACCGCCCUGUGGACCAUCUGGAAGCAUUCAUAGCGAGAACCAGUCUGUUAGUUAACCAUUAUUUUAAGACUGACGCUCCUAUACUUCGUGUAUAAUCCACAGUCAUCACGAAGGAGCUACCAUUCGGCAAACUUACUCAAGUAGCUCCAUUCCUUUUUAAGAUGGACCGUUCCAA